RNAcentral lists this ribosomal RNA (517 nucleotides) under uncultured bacterium. RNAcentral describes it as "bacterial SSU rRNA". It matches the Rfam family "Bacterial small subunit ribosomal RNA", at positions 501 to 1016 of the family's 1533-position model. The record is from RNAcentral.
CUACGUGCCAGCAGCCGCGGUAAUACGUAGGUCCCGAGCGUUGUCCGGAUUUAUUGGGCGUAAAGCGAGCGCAGGCGGUUAGAUAAGUCUGAAGUUAAAGGCUGUGGCUUAACCAUAGUACGCUUUGGAAACUGUUUAACUUGAGUGCAAGAGGGGAGAGUGGAAUUCCAUGUGUAGCGGUGAAAUGCGUAGAUAUAUGGAGGAACACCGGUGGCGAAAGCGGCUCUCUGGCUUGUAACUGACGCUGAGGCUCGAAAGCGUGGGGAGCAAACAGGAUUAGAUACCCUGGUAGUCCACGCCGUAAACGAUGAGUGCUAGGUGUUAGACCCUUUCCGGGGUUUAGUGCCGCAGCUAACGCAUUAAGCACUCCGCCUGGGGAGUACGACCGCAAGGUUGAAACUCAAAGGAAUUGACGGGGGCCCGCACAAGCGGUGGAGUAUGUGGUUUAAUUCGAAGCAACGCGAAGAACCUUACCAGGUCUUGACAUCCCUCUGACCGCUCUAGAGAUAGAGUUUUC